Non-coding RNA from Paramuricea clavata, 78 nucleotides. NCBI's taxonomy places the organism in Eukaryota, Metazoa, Cnidaria, Anthozoa, Malacalcyonacea, Plexauridae. The record is from the annotation of a GenBank genome assembly.
UGCGUGACAGGCCCUCAAAUUUAUGGGGGCCUGAUUUGCAGCGGGCAGGCUCCCAUAAAUUUGAGGGCCUGCCACGCA